AUUGAACGCUGGCGGCAUGCUUUACACAUGCAAGUCGAACGGUAACAGGUUAAGCUGACGAGUGGCGAACGGGUGAGUAAUGCAUCGGAACGUGCCCGAUCGUGGGGGAUAACGCAGCGAAAGCUGCGCUAAUACCGCAUACGAUCUGAGGAUGAAAGCGGGGGACCGUAAGGCCUCGCGCGAUCGGAGCGGCCGAUGUCAGAUUAGGUAGUUGGUGGGGUAAAGGCUCACCAAGCCAACGAUCUGUAGCUGGUCUGAGAGGACGACCAGCCACACUGGGACUGGGACACGGCCCAGAGUCCGACGGGAGGUAGCAGGGGGGAAUUUUGGACAAUGGGCGAAAGCCUGAUCCAGCAAUGCCGCGUGCAGGAAGAAGGCCUUCGGGUUGUAAACUGCUUUUGUACGGAGCGAAAAGGUCCCCUCUAAUACAGGGGGCUCAUGACGGUACCGUAAGAAUAAGCACCGGCUAACUACGUGCCAGCCGCCGCAGUAA
RNAcentral lists this ribosomal RNA (493 nucleotides) under uncultured bacterium. RNAcentral describes it as "partial 16S ribosomal RNA". It matches the Rfam family "Bacterial small subunit ribosomal RNA", at positions 29 to 523 of the family's 1533-position model. The record is from RNAcentral.